Molecule: ribosomal RNA, 253 nt
Filed under: uncultured bacterium
Lineage: Bacteria
Description: partial 16S ribosomal RNA
Rfam family: Bacterial small subunit ribosomal RNA
Source: RNAcentral
UACGGAGGGGGCAAGCGUUGUUCGGAAUCAUUGGGCGUAAAGGGCGCGUAGGCGGCCUGCUAAGUCGGACGUGAAAUCCCUCGGCUCAACCGGGGAACUGCAUCCGAUACUGGUGGGCUUGAAUCCGGGAGAGGGAUGUGGAAUUCCAGGUGUAGCGGUGAAAUGCGUAGAUAUCUGGAGGAACACCGGUGGCGAAGGCGGCAUCCUGGACCGGUAUUGACGCUGAGGCGCGAAAGCCAGGGGAGCAAACGGG